AACUUAUGUUGAGAAGAUUUACACAGGAGACCCUUGAACCUUUCCCAUGACUCAAAAAGAGAAUCUCAUUCCAUUUGCACAAAAGAAGAGAUCUCAUUCCUCAGCUU
This is a small nucleolar RNA of Dioscorea cayenensis subsp. rotundata (Guinea yam), 107 nucleotides long. The record is from RefSeq and is a predicted model, not a curated record. Lineage: Eukaryota; Viridiplantae; Streptophyta; Magnoliopsida; Dioscoreales; Dioscoreaceae.